RNAcentral lists this ribosomal RNA (577 nucleotides) under Alternaria sp. MLN4. RNAcentral describes it as "eukaryotic LSU rRNA". The stretch from base 226 to 379 matches the Rfam family "5.8S ribosomal RNA". Lineage: Eukaryota; Fungi; Ascomycota; Dothideomycetes; Pleosporales; Pleosporaceae. The record is from RNAcentral.
UUUUUGGAAGGUAAAAAUCGUAACAAGGUCUCCGUAGGUGAACCUGCGGAGGGAUCAUUACACAAAUAUGAAGGCGGGCUGGAACCUCUCGGGGUUACAGCCUUGCUGAAUUAUUCACCCUUGUCUUUUGCGUACUUCUUGUUUCCUUGGUGGGUUCGCCCACCACUAGGACAAACAUAAACCUUUUGUAAUUGCAAUCAGCGUCAGUAACAAAUUAAUAAUUACAACUUUCAACAACGGAUCUCUUGGUUCUGGCAUCGAUGAAGAACGCAGCGAAAUGCGAUAAGUAGUGUGAAUUGCAGAAUUCAGUGAAUCAUCGAAUCUUUGAACGCACAUUGCGCCCUUUGGUAUUCCAAAGGGCAUGCCUGUUCGAGCGUCAUUUGUACCCUCAAGCUUUGCUUGGUGUUGGGCGUCUUGUCUCUAGCUUUGCUGGAGACUCGCCUUAAAGUAAUUGGCAGCCGGCCUACUGGUUUCGGAGCGCAGCACAAGUCGCACUCUCUAUCAGCAAAGGUCUAGCAUCCAUUAAGCCUUUUUUUCAACUUUGACCUCAGAUCACUACGCACGUUCCUUUUAAGGC